AACGAACGCUGGCGGCAUGCCUAACACAUGCAAGUCGAACGAGACCUUCGGGUCUCGUGGCGCACGGGUGCGUAACGCGUGGGAACCUGCCCUUAGGUUCGGAAUAACUCCCCGAAAGGGGUGCUAAUACCGGAUAAUGUCUUCGGACCAACGAUUUAUCGCCUUUGGAUGGGCCCGCGUUGGAUUAGCUAGUUGGUAGGGUAAAAGCCUACCAAGGCGACGAUCCAUAGCUGGUCUGAGAGGAUGAUCAGCCACACUGGGACUGAGACACGGCCCAGACUCCUACGGGAGGCAGCAGUGGGGAAUAUUGGACGAUGGGCGAAAGCCUGAUCCAGCAAUGCCGCGUGAGUGAUGAAGGCCUUAGGGUUGUAAAGCUCUUUUACCCGGGAUGAUAAUGACAGUACCGGGAGAAUAAGCUCCGGCUAACUCCGUG
RNAcentral lists this ribosomal RNA (433 nucleotides) under uncultured bacterium. RNAcentral describes it as "partial 16S ribosomal RNA". It matches the Rfam family "Bacterial small subunit ribosomal RNA", at positions 29 to 507 of the family's 1533-position model. The record is from RNAcentral.